AGAUUAGAUAAUGUCACUAAAGUCUAUCUUUGGCAUAAUUGACUUUCUUUUAUUGGAAAGGGUGAAUGAGCCAGUAAUAUUUUGAGUUUGAUACAUAUUGAUGUAUUUGUACUCAUGAACAUAAGUGCCAGAAGAGGGCUUUACUGCAUUAAAAUUUUAGACGAUCUAUCUUGGUAUGGGUGUGUUUUGCUUGUAAAGCACAAGUUCGAAUGAUUUAAAAUGUUCAAAUGAUUCUAUAAUGAGGU
RNAcentral lists this long non-coding RNA (245 nucleotides) under Elaeis guineensis (African oil palm). RNAcentral describes it as "long non-coding RNA (EGUI_LNC055152)". The record is from RNAcentral. Lineage: Eukaryota; Viridiplantae; Streptophyta; Magnoliopsida; Arecales; Arecaceae.